UUGCACAGGCUAGCCAAGGCGGACGGGUGAGUAACGCGUAAAGAACUUGCCCUGCAGACAGGGAUAACAGACGGAAACGACUGAUAACACCUGAUACAAUUGCCGGCACGCAUGUGCCGGGCAAUGAAAAGAGAUGCUGCGGGAGAGCUUUGCGUCCUAUUAGCUUGUUGGUGAGGUAACGGCUCACCAAGGCGAUGAUAGGUAGCCGGCCUGAGAGGGUGAACGGCCACAAGGGGACUGAGAUACGGCCCUUACUCCUACGGGAGGCAGCAGUGGGGAAUAUUGGACAAUGGGGGCAACCCUGAUCCAGCAAUUCUGUGUGCACGAAGAAGGUUUUCGGAUUGUAAAGUGCUUUCAGCAGGGAAGAAGAAAGUGACGGUACCUGCAGAAGAAGCGACGGCUAAAUACGUGCCAGCAGCCGCGGUAAUACGUAUGUCGCAAGCGUUAUCCGGAAUUAUUGGGCAUAAAGGGCAUCUAGGCGGCCAGACAAGUCUGGGGUGAAAACUUGCGGCUCAACCGCAAGCCUGCCCUGGAAACUGUUUGGCUAGAGUGCUGGAGAGGUGGACGGAACUGCACGAGUAGAGGUGAAAUUCGUAGAUAUGUGCAGGAAUGCCGAUGAUGAAGAUAGUUCACUGGACGGCAACUGACGCUGAAGUGCGAAAGCUAGGGGAGCGAACAGGAUUAGAUACCCUGGUAGUCCUAGCUGUAAACGAUGAUUACUGGGUGUGGGCAUGAAGAGUGUCCGUGCC
RNAcentral lists this ribosomal RNA (749 nucleotides) under uncultured Leptotrichia sp. RNAcentral's name for it is "bacterial SSU rRNA". It matches the Rfam family "Bacterial small subunit ribosomal RNA", at positions 80 to 847 of the family's 1533-position model. The record is from RNAcentral. Lineage: Bacteria; Fusobacteriati; Fusobacteriota; Fusobacteriia; Fusobacteriales; Leptotrichiaceae.